RNAcentral lists this long non-coding RNA (4502 nucleotides) under Gallus gallus (chicken). Lineage: Eukaryota; Metazoa; Chordata; Aves; Galliformes; Phasianidae. The record is from RNAcentral.
UGUAGGAAAUUAUGAACAAUCUCACUCCAUGAGCAUAAGCUUUUCUUUUUCUAUUCCUACAAAUCCAUCAGCAUAAAGAAUAGCUGCUUUCAGGAUCUUUCCUGAUACAAGAUCGUUUCUAGGAAUUCCUAGUUAGGAUGCUACUGUGACCUACAGAAAGGGGAUUAGAGUUGCAGGCUUUGGGGUAAUAACACUUAAUAGAGAUGAAGAUAUUUCUUUGAGAGGAUGUAUAACUUUAUUAAAAUGGAAGUAACCGUACAUUUUUCUUGUCAUCUUGCAAUAUGCAAAUUAAAUGCACUGCGGCAGUUAAAAUUUAGUUACAUAACUCAUCGAAAUUGGAAUUGAAACUUAAAUUUUCUAGCUGAGGGAAAAGGAACAAGAAGUUAAGUAUCAAAAAUGCUGUGCAUGUACUUUUUCCCAAAACACAAAUCAACCAGUAUUGGAUUGCUGGAAAGCAGCGGGUGAUUGGGGGAAACUUUUUAAUGAAGAAUUGAAUGGGAGUUUGCAUCCUAAGGAGUUAUUUUCCUUUUCAGAUUCUGACGACCACCAUCAAAUGUAGGUUGGGAAGCUUUUGAAGCCUUCUGCUUCUGAAGGCUGUGCAGCCAUAAUUGUGGGUAAUAUUUCACUUUGACCGUGAUCCUAGCCUUGCCAGGAACUUGUUGUAAGUGUAAUUUUCCUGUUUCUCUCUGAAGAGAGAAGAUGCUUGCCUCAUCCAUGGGAACACACCAUCUGAUAGCUCAAACGUUUAUAAAAAUACUUGUUAUCCUCAAUUGGAAACUGCAUCAAUGCUACCACUUCUUAAUUUUUCAUUUCAUUGCACCUGCAUGUGUUGUUUACUAAUUGGAAGGAAGACAAACAAACAAACAAAACAGAGACAAUUUUGGAAAUAGCUUGUAAAAGAAAACAGCAAACAAACAACAGAAGACCAACAACAAACUAUGUAGCUACUACACUCUGGGGCUUUUUCUCUGUUUUGUUUCCUAUGCCCUAAAACACCUAGUAUCUCUGAGAUAACAAAAGAGGACUGUUCUGCUCUUAUUGAAUAUUGCAAUAUUUACUCUAUAAGCUCAGAAAAGACAUGCUUUCAAAGCUGCCUCCAUACUUGUAGUUCUCCUUAUGUCUCACACUGGAGAUGAACCUCUUUAGCUGUGUGGUUGUUUGAUGUAGAGGUGAGAGGAGCAGAGGUGAGAGGAGCAGGACUCUACACUGCGCAGAAUUUCUGCAGCCACUGAGUGGAGUGACUUUGAAUCACAGAACCAUAGAAAGGUUUGGGUUGGAAGGGACCUUUAAGAUCACCUAGUUCCAACCCUAUAGGCAGGGACACCUCCCUCUAGACCAGGUUGCUCAAAGCCCCAUCCAGCCUGGCCUUGAGAGCUUCCAGGCUGGAUGAAGUAUGAGGCAGAUAGCCAUCUUCAGUUUCACUGAUGCCUAGCACAUAGAACACAUCUAUUGUUCCUUUUCCUACAAUUUUCACAUCAAAAGUUAGGCUCAAAACACAGAGAUAAAGUUACAUGGUUGGAAGUGCAGACGGAAGGGAAUAAGGUCCAGCAGACUUGAGAAGUAAAAUAUAUUAAUGUGUGCAGUAUGAAAAUUUUGCCAUUAGAAAGACAAAGCGAUGAGCAGAAAACACACAUGCAACGCUGUCCUUAUCAACUCAAGUCACAUUUGAUUCAAUAGUAGAUCACAGAGAGAUUUUGACAAGCUGUUUAAAAGAGAAAUAUUUUGUUCUAGGUCGCUACUUCUGUGUUCAGGCUUUAGACAAACAGUUGUUGUUCUGUAUUUCCAGUCUUGUAACAGAUUGUUCUGUGUGUGCAGUUAUUAUUUCUGCAGCUUGAGUUAAUGUGCUUACCCUCAUUGUUGCUUUGCAGAAGCCUUUCAUAAAAUUUUAGAAGUGAAGAAAGUCCCUUUGUACUUCCUUGUACUUUGGGGUUUUGAACAAUCAAUGUGUGCUUUUGUUUCUUUGUUAAUUAUUAUUUCUAAUUGCAUGGGCUGAUCUUCCGCUUGUAGAAGUCUGCUUUGUACUUCCCAGUGUCCAUUUCUUGAUGGUUGCUGAAGGUAUGUUAGAUAGGUUUUUGUGCUGCAUGUGUAGGUCUUGCUCUUAUAGCAGCGAGUGGCAUGGAUAAUGAAGUGUGGUUUGCAGGAUACAUCAUAGUUGCCUGCUUUUAAUCAGCUGUGCUGCUUCUUAGUGGCUCUCGAUGGUGUUUUCUUACCAGGCAUCACAUUUGUGUCUGCUUUCUCAGGGAAGUUGGAGGUUUUUGAGUUUUGACAAGAACGAUAUAAUAAAAUGUUUCUGGUUUUCCUCCACGUUUAAUUUGUUGUUCCUUUGUUAUGCUGUGGAGGAACUUUGUAUUUCAUGGGAAACGUAGUGAGGAAUUAGCCAUUUUUCUGGUCAUCCAGCUAAACCCGGCUCCAAAGAGCAUUAGAUGGUUUAUUACUUCAACAGCUACACCUCAGUCUACAACUAACUACAGCAUGUAAUGUGCUUGUUUAUUGGCUAAUGUCUUCUUCACGUUAGGACUGUUUCUGUGGGCUUGUCUUAACGGAAGGUUGUUUCAGUAGUUGAUAGUUGUCGCUUCAAAUGAAGUAGUUAAUUAUUCUGUAAUUGGGAGUUUGGACAUUGCUAGGAUGUUUGUUUGGGGCUGCAGAUAUUUGUAAUUUACGCUGGCAUGUCUAGACUGAUCCCUAGGGUAAACUGCAAUUUUUUUUAGUUCGGAAAACAAAACACUUUGGGAUUGCCUAGCUCACUUUGAGAGUUACAUUUAUGGCAGCAUAAUUGCUUCAGUCAUCUUGAGUUUAAAAUGCAGCGUAACAUGUGACAAACUUACUUAACACAUGCUUAGAAAAGGGUUUGGGGGAGGCAGUUGAAGAAACACGCUGUCAUCCUUUGGGACUGAGAUGCUAAUGCAGAUCUUGGGGGGGAGGGGGUGUGAUGGCUGUGUUGGUGGCGGCUAUUGGGGUUUUUUCCUUGUAUCCUCAAAGCACAGGAGAGUGCAUUUAGCUCAGCUGUCUUUCUGGAACACUUGAGCUGCACUCAGGAAGUGGCUGUUCUGACAUGAGACAGCCAAGUCCCCACCAGCAGUGUUAGCCAUGAGCAGGACAGAGGAGCUGGUAGCUACGGAGGAUGAGAGCAGAGGGGUCAUCGUUGUGGGCACGUGUUGAAGAAUAAAAGUCCACGUUUAUUACAGUAUCUCAGUGACUAUGUAACUUUUCCUCCAAAAAUAGCAGCUGAAUAACUGCCACGGUUGGGAAAAUGAGUCCAUGGGGGAGUCUAGUGCCUUUGUGGUCAGCUUGAGAGAGAAUCCUGGAGGAUGGGAUGCACUGUUCUGUGCCGAGCUCAGUGUGCUGCAAGAGCUGCUUUUGGAUCUUACUUCCUCGUGUGGUUCUUGCCCAUAGCAGCACCCAUGGGCAGCACUGAGACUGCAGGACCACUACUGCCGGCCUCUGCAGCACAUUCCUCUUGGCACACUGACCCAGAAUGCUGCCCUACAUCUCUGUCAGAGGACUGCUUUCAUUUUACCCUUCCCUUGUCAGAAACCCCCCCAGGAUGUUAAAUUGCUUGAUAGUUGCAGUAUGAUAAAUUGGCUUCUAAUUAGUUUUUUUUUUCUAGAAACAUUAGUUAUUACCUUCUUAUUUUUUUUUUUCUGCCUGGCACUUUUCCUGACACUUAACUUUCUCUGACACAUCAGAAUGUUAAUUAAUCUUCUGAAUUCAGCUGUCUGUGUAAAUUCAGCUGCUGUAGGCUAUUGGUUUGUUUCCUGUAAAAUUUUGGCUUUGUACACUGGUAAACUGGCCAGUUCAAGUGUUACCAGCAGUUGCAGACAGUUGUGCUGUUUCUCCAUCACCUAUUUAAUGCAGUGCUUCAGUGUGAUAAAUCACAAUGCUGAGGCUUUUGUGUACAGUAAUUAGCAUCAAGUCACUUCGUGCUAUGUCCUUAACUGUCAAAUAUGAAGUGCUGGCUGUCGUUCACUGGCCUGUGCCUGAGUGAGACAAAAAUAGUACUCUAAAAUAGGAAGGGAUGCUGGUGGCUAGUCAGGAAGGGCAUUCACCUGUGAAAUGUUGAAUGUAAUCCAGAAGUCACAGCAGUCUGGUGGCUGUUUAAUGGCUUACAAGGAGUGACUCUUCCACUUUUCAGUUCUGCCCUUUGAGGACAAGUGACAAUAUUAUUAAAAGAAAAUGAAGAAAUGACUACUUCCUGUUUCAUCAUCUGUAAAGAAAAGGUUGGAGAAGCCAAUGUUAUUCAGCACCUCUUCUUUCUUUCAAGAUUUAAAGUUCCUUGCAGUUUCCUUUAUGACAACAGCUGGCCUUCUCUUUCGAUAAAUAACAAAACCCAGCUGGGAGAGAGCAUUUAGGUCUGUUACUGGGCAUCACGUCAAUGUGCUUUUCAAUUUCUCAGGCUAUGGCAGCCUCAUCUUGUGUUUUGGCUGCGUGGACUUGUGAGGACUGCCUGUGUGUUGUCCCUGCAGGAGAGCAGGGCCCCAGAGCCACCUCUGCUCUGAUGUGAC